This 344-nucleotide unclassified non-coding RNA is filed under the name soil metagenome. Its description in RNAcentral is "partial contains 5.8S ribosomal RNA, internal transcribed spacer 2, and large subunit ribosomal RNA". The stretch from base 1 to 119 matches the Rfam family "5.8S ribosomal RNA", at positions 35 to 154 of the family's 154-position model. The record is from RNAcentral.
GAUGAAGAACGUAGCGAAAUGCGAUACGUAAUGUGAAUUGCAAAUUCAGUGAAUCAUCGAGUCUUUGAACGCACAUUGCGCCCCCUGGUAUUCCGGGGGGCAUGCCUGUCCGAGCGUCAUUGCUGCCCUCAAGCACGGCUUGUGUGUUGGGCCCCGUCCUCCGAUUCCGGGGGACGGGCCCGAAAGGCAGCGGCGGCACCGCGUCCGGUCCUCGAGCGUAUGGGGCUUUGUCACCCGCUCUGUAGGCCCGGCCGGCGCUUGCCGAUCAACCCAAAUUUUUAUCCAGGUUGACCUCGGAUCAGGUAGGGAUACCCGCUGAACUUAAGCAUAUCAAUAAGGGAGGA